Molecule: transfer RNA, 75 nt
Filed under: Clostridia bacterium
Lineage: Bacteria; Bacillati; Bacillota; Clostridia
Description: tRNA-Arg
Rfam family: tRNA
About the family: Transfer RNA (tRNA) molecules are approximately 80 nucleotides in length. Their secondary structure includes four short double-helical elements and three loops (D, anti-codon, and T loops).
Source: RNAcentral
GCCUGCAUAGUUAAAUGGAUAUAAUAAGCCCCUCCUAAGGGUUAGUUAUGGGUUCGAGUCCCGUUGCGGGUGCCA